GAUGGCAUAGCCUGGUGGUAGAGUGUGUGCCUGUCAUACAUGAAUUCCUGGGUUCAAUCCCCAGUACCUCCA
RNAcentral lists this transfer RNA (72 nucleotides) under Camelus ferus (Wild Bactrian camel). It matches the Rfam family "tRNA". Rfam says of the family: Transfer RNA (tRNA) molecules are approximately 80 nucleotides in length. Lineage: Eukaryota; Metazoa; Chordata; Mammalia; Artiodactyla; Camelidae. The record is from Rfam by way of RNAcentral.